RNAcentral lists this ribosomal RNA (859 nucleotides) under Fuscoporia scruposa. Its description in RNAcentral is "Fuscoporia sp. CL-2018d partial large subunit ribosomal RNA". It matches the Rfam family "Eukaryotic large subunit ribosomal RNA", at positions 75 to 915 of the family's 3401-position model. The record is from RNAcentral. Lineage: Eukaryota; Fungi; Basidiomycota; Agaricomycetes; Hymenochaetales; Hymenochaetaceae.
UUCCCCUAGUAACUGCGAGUGAAGCGGGAAAAGCUCAAAUUUAAAAUCUGGUGGUUUUGCCAUCCGAGUUGUAAUCUGGAGAAGCGUUUUCUGUGCUGGACCGUGUACAAGUCUCUUGGAACAGAGCGUCAUAGAGGGUGAGAAUCCCGUCCAUGACACGGACACCCAGUGCUAUGUGAUACGUUUUCAAAGAGUCGAGUUGUUUGGGAAUGCAGCUCAAAAUGGGUGGUAAGCUCCAUCUAAAGCUAAAUAUUGGCGAGAGACCGAUAGCGAACAAGUACCGUGAGGGAAAGAUGAAAAGCACUUUGGAAAGAGAGUUAAACAGUACGUGAAAUUGUUGAAAGGGAAACGCUUGAAGUUAGUCGCGUCUUACUUGACUCAGCCUUGCUUCGGCUUGGUGUAUUUCAUGUGAGACGGGUCAACAUCGAUUUUGACCGGCAGACAAGGGGAGUAAGAAUGUGGCACUCUUCGGAGUGUGUUAUAGCUUAUUCUCAUAUGUGUCGGUUGGGAUCGAGGACCGCAGCGCGCCCUUGUGGCCGGAGGUUCGCCUCACGUUACGCGCUUAGGAUGUUGGCAUAAUGGCUUUAAGCGACCCGUCUUGAAACACGGACCAAGGAGUCUAACAUGCUCGCGAGUGUUAGGGUGGAAAACCCUUGCGCAGAAUGAAAGUAAAAGUUGGGAACCUCCGCAAGGGGGCGCACCGACGCCCGGCCCAGAAGUUUACGGACGGUGCUGCGGUAGAGCGCGUAUGUUGGGACCCGAAAGAUGGUGAACUAUGCCUGAAUAGGGCGAAGCCAGGGGAAACCCUGUGUGGAGGCUCGUAGCGAUUCUGACGUGCAAAUCGAUCGUCAAAUUUGGG